RNAcentral lists this ribosomal RNA (456 nucleotides) under uncultured bacterium. Its description in RNAcentral is "bacterial SSU rRNA". It matches the Rfam family "Bacterial small subunit ribosomal RNA", at positions 340 to 786 of the family's 1533-position model. The record is from RNAcentral.
UACGGGAGGCAGCAGUGGGGAAUAUUGCACAAUGGGCGAAAGCCUGAUGCAGCUAUGCCGCGUGUAUGAGGAAGGCCUUAGGGUUGUAAAGUACUUUCAUCGGGGAGGAAAAAACAAAACUAAUAAUUUUAUUUCUUGACGUUACCCGAAAAAGAAGCACCGGCUAACUCCGUGCCAGCAGCCGCGGUAAUACGGAGGGUGCUAGCGUUAAUCAGAAUUACUGGGCGUAAAGAGCACGUAGGUGGUUUUUUUAAGUCAGAUGUGAAAUCCCUGGGCUUAACCUAGGAACUGCAUUUUGAAACUGAAAUACUAGAGUAUCGUAGAGGGAGGUAGAAUUCUAGGUGUAGCGGUGAAAUGCGUAGAUAUCUGGAGGAAUACCUGUGGCGAAAGCGGCCUCCUAAACGAAUACUGACACUGAGGUGCGAAAGCGUGGGGAGCAAACAGGGAUUAGAUACC